GAUGAAGAACGUAGCGAAAUGCGAUAAGUAAUGUGAAUUGCAGAAUCCAGUGAAUCAUCGAAUCUUUGAACGCACAUUGCGCCCGCCAGCAUUCUGGCGGGCAUGCCUGUUCGAGCGUCAUUUCAGCCCUCGACCUCCCUUUGGGGAAGUCGGCGUUGGGGACCGGCAGCACACCGCCGGCCCUGAAAUGGAGUGGCGGCCCGUCCGCGGCGACCUCUGCGUAGUAAACCAACUCGCACCGGAACCCCGACGUGGCCACGCCGUAAAACACCCAACUUCUGAACGUUGACCUCGAAUCAGGUAGGACUACCCGCUGAACUUAAGCAUAUCAAUAAGCGGAGGA
RNAcentral lists this unclassified non-coding RNA (343 nucleotides) under soil metagenome. RNAcentral describes it as "partial contains 5.8S ribosomal RNA, internal transcribed spacer 2, and large subunit ribosomal RNA". The stretch from base 1 to 120 matches the Rfam family "5.8S ribosomal RNA", at positions 35 to 154 of the family's 154-position model. The record is from RNAcentral.